UUUAAUUCACCGUAUCCCUUAAAAUCAGCAUAGCUCCUCUUUAUUCUGAUUCUACCCAAAAAAUCAGAGAAAGUACUCAAAAUUCCAUUUAUACUCUUUCACGAUCCUGUUUUAUUUGCAAUAUCAUAUUCAACAUUCAACUCAUCCGUUCUCUCUCAACAAACCCUAGCCGUCAUCAUCACUACCACCGUCUUCCAGUGCCUUCACCUUUGGUGACGAGUCAGACCAUCGGUUGUGGCUUUCAUCCAUCAUCUCUCUAUUUGGAGCAUCUUUUCAUCUCUUUUAUUGCUCUCAAUAACCCUAUAAAUAAUGAAAAUUGAGGGAAAUUAAAACCGAACCACCGCCAUCAAACUGCAUCACAAUUCCAUUUCUCUAUUUUUCAAUUAAAACAGGAAGAAGAUCUGGUUACAGGUAUUAUAUAGAACUGAUGCAAACCUAACCUAUUAAACCUUUUAAUUUCAGGUGUUAAACACACUUUGCCAUGAAGCUUGAAGCUAAAACCAAACAACCACUUCACAUUUACGAUUUAUCAUCUCCUGGUUUGUAUGUGUUUACCCUUUUUUUUUUUUUUUUUUUCUGAAGUAUCAAUUACUUAUGAAAGAGUCAACAAUCUCCAUCGUAAGUUUUGUUAUCCACUCUGCACUCCGUGUAGCGGUUGAAAUGCCUUAAUGGGUUUUUUGGACGUUAUCUAUGUUGUUUUCCAUAUUUUUUUAUAUAAGUUUUUUUCAAAUUUUUUAUUUCACCAUAACAGAGCUUGCAUUUAAGAGGUCAUUGUGUUGUUGGUCAGCUGUUAGAUGUACAAUGUACAAUCACGAGGACACUUGGUAUCUUACAUUUCAAACCCUUUUUUUCUUUAAAAAAUUUCUAAUACAAUUUUAAUCAGUAAUUUAUUUUCCCAAUUUGCCAAAACUGUCAAAACAUUGAUUAUUUGACUAUAAAAAGUCAAAAUGUAUAAUUUUGUGUCUGUUUUGUUUAGAUGAGAUUGCGAUCUGGGAGCUAUAACCCCAUGGUGUUUACAAGAUGUAUAAGGACCAUGAAGAAAUUUUGUGAAAAUUAGUUCUUAGUUGGAGUGAUAAAUUAUCGUUGGAAGAAUCAUCUUGAACUUGUCAAGAUUAGUGCUAUUUGUUCAAUAGCCUACUCAAAUGGAAAAAGAUACAGGUUUUGGUGAAUACUUUCAAAUGCUUUUUGAGGAGACCAACAACAAAGGAUUCGAGUCACUGGAGGAUUUUACUACUCAGAAGAUGUAGACCGGUAAACUUUAAGCAUUUUGUGGGACCUUGCUGUUGUUUUGUAUUUAUGAUUUUACCCUUGUCCAUAAAUUUACUUUAUCUUGAUGGUUCUUGAACUUCAACCAUAAUAAGAAGCAAAUUAUCUAAAUAUUUUUAAACUGGGAAGUGGCAAGUGCAGUCCAGAGAACUGACAGUUGACUAGGAAUAGCAACAUAUUUAUAUUGUUUUGUUUAUUAUAGCAUUAUACUUUUAUUUCUUCUAUUUGUAACAUCGUAGUUUGAAGAAAUCACCAAAUUCUAGCAAGUAAUUUAUUGUGUAUUAUUUUUUC
Molecule: non-coding RNA, 1557 nt
Organism: Lactuca sativa (garden lettuce)
Lineage: Eukaryota; Viridiplantae; Streptophyta; Magnoliopsida; Asterales; Asteraceae
Source: RefSeq, a predicted model, not a curated record